Molecule: ribosomal RNA, 465 nt
Filed under: Vreelandella stevensii
Lineage: Bacteria; Pseudomonadati; Pseudomonadota; Gammaproteobacteria; Oceanospirillales; Halomonadaceae
Description: partial 16S ribosomal RNA
Rfam family: Bacterial small subunit ribosomal RNA
Source: RNAcentral
CCUACGGGAGGCAGCAGUGGGGAAUAUUGGACAAUGGGCGAAAGCCUGAUCCAGCCAUGCCGCGUGUGUGAAGAAGGCCUUCGGGUUGUAAAGCACUUUCAGUGGGGAAGAAAGCCUUGGGGCUAAUACCCUCGAGGAAGGACAUCACCCACAGAAGAAGCACCGGCUAACUCCGUGCCAGCAGCCGCGGUAAUACGGAGGGUGCGAGCGUUAAUCGGAAUUACUGGGCGUAAAGCGCGCGUAGGCGGUCUGAUAAGCCGGUUGUGAAAGCCCCGGGCUCAACCUGGGAACGGCAUCCGGAACUGUCAGGCUAGAGUGCAGGAGAGGAAGGUAGAAUUCCCGGUGUAGCGGUGAAAUGCGUAGAGAUCGGGAGGAAUGCCAGUGGCGAAGGCGGCCUUCUGGACUGACACUGACGCUGAGGUGCGAAAGCGUGGGUAGCAAACAGGAUUAGAUACCCGAGUAGUC